GUAGGUGGCAAGCGUUGUCCGGAAUUAUUGGGCGUAAAGCGCGCGCAGGUGGUUCUUUAAGUCUGAUGUGAAAGCCCCCGGCUCAACCGGGGAGGGUCAUUGGAAACUGGGGAACUUGAGUGCAGGAGAGGAAAGUGGAAUUCCACGUGUAGCGGUGAAAUGCGUAGAUAUGUGGAGGAACACCAGUGGCGAAGGCGACUUUCUGGCCUGUAACUGACACUGAGGCGCGAAAGCGUGGGGAGCAAACAGGGAUUAGAUACCCUGGUAGUCCACGCCGUAAACGAUGAGUGCUAAGUGUUGGGGGGGUUUCCCGCCCCGUCAGUGCUGCAGCCAACGCAUUAAGCACUCCGCCUGGGGAGUACGGUCGCAAGACUG
Molecule: ribosomal RNA, 375 nt
Filed under: uncultured organism
Description: partial 16S ribosomal RNA
Rfam family: Bacterial small subunit ribosomal RNA
Source: RNAcentral